Molecule: long non-coding RNA, 1033 nt
Filed under: Gossypium barbadense (sea-island cotton)
Lineage: Eukaryota; Viridiplantae; Streptophyta; Magnoliopsida; Malvales; Malvaceae
Description: long non-coding RNA (GBAR_LNC004866)
Source: RNAcentral
UUAAGACAUGAUCCCUCGAAUUCUCGAAAACUAGAAUAAAUGUCAUUUGAUUGUUACCUAAAUUUUCUUUUUUAUUAUUUUAAAUAGGUUAUUCAAUUACUUCGUUUCUAGGGAAAUGCCAUACUCCGUAAGUUAGGAACACAGCUUCUCCGAAUGCCAAAAAUAACGAACAUUGCCUCGAUUUUAAAUUUUUUUUAUGCAUUAGAUAAAACAAAUGUAACUUUUAAAAUGAGGUAUAUUUAAUUUAUUUGGGCAUAAUGUAAAAAAAAAUGAUAAACAUUGUGAUAGCAAAAUAAAAUGGAAUAAUCAUGUAUGUAAAAAAAAAUGAAAUGGUGAUUGUACAAGCCCAAUUUUGGACCCAAACCCUAGCCCAAUACAUUAAAGAAAAAAAAGGGCAAAACCUAAAACCCUAGCCGUUCAACCACUUGCCCCUGUCCCAUCCACUACCGCCUCUGCUCCACCACCGUUUGUCUGCAGCAACAAUGGAAGAAUAGAUAGAUAUUAAAAUAAAAAAAAGGAAAUGAAAUGGCUAAAAAAAGCCAAGCAAAACCAUUGUAAGGGGGAGUUUUUUGGAUGAGAAAUAAAAGCAAUAUUUGAUUUUAAACAAACAAGAAUCAGUGAUUCAAAGGCAUGAAAUAGCCAACCAAAAGAAAAACACUAAAUCGGAAAAUACAUACCAAGAAUCAGACAUCUAAAGACCAAGGUGAUUUCAUUCUAUACCUUUUCGGCUUCUUUCUUUUUUUUUAUUUUUUUUCGAAUCUCCUAUUUGCAUAUAUAUUAUAAAUACAUCAAAAAAUAUAUAAGAUAAUAUCUAUAAAAAAAAGAAAAAAAAGAGAGAACUUUACCUUUUCCGGCAACCGUUCACGGUGGCCGGCGACUGUGCCUGCGACGGUGGAGCCCCGGUAUCAUGGUGGUCCGGCGACCAAUCUCGGGCCAGAGAGGGGGCUGAGAGAAAGUGAGAGAGAGAGCAUUCUCUGAUUUUUUUUUAAGUGGGAAGUAAAAUGAUUUUUUUUGAAGAUUUGUUGGGUUUUAU